Molecule: ribosomal RNA, 309 nt
Filed under: uncultured bacterium
Lineage: Bacteria
Description: partial 16S ribosomal RNA
Rfam family: Bacterial small subunit ribosomal RNA
Source: RNAcentral
AGAGACAGCAGCAGCCGCGGGAAUACGAAGGGGGCUAGCGUUGUUCGGAAUCACUGGGCGUAAAGGGUGCGUAGGCGGGAUCUUAAGUCAGGGGUGAAAUCCCGAGGCUCAACCUCGGAACUGCCUUUGAUACUGGGGUCCUUGAGUCCGGAAGAGGUGAGUGGAACUGCGAGUGUAGAGGUGAAAUUCGUAGAUAUUCGCAAGAACACCGGUGGCGAAGGCGGCUCACUGGUCCGGAACUGACGCUGAGGCACGACAGCGUGGGGAGCAAACAGGAUUAGAUACCCGCGUAGUCCCUGUCUCUUAUAC